CUGUUCCUGAGAUUUGCUGUUUAUUUGUGCUGAAAAUUAAGACCUUCAAUUUCCUUUCUGCCUGAUUUGAUGGAACAAACUGAAGAACUAACUGGAGUCAGUUAAUUAGAGAGACUUUGAAGAGGUGAGAUUCACUUUACCGGAGUUAAACGAUCCUUAUUUUUUAACCUGCAGACACUAUAAUCAGCAGCCUGCUAUUUGUCACUUUUUGUGUGUUUUUCAGCGCUUUCACCUCGUCUUAAAACAAAAAUCUGUAAACGAAGAAGACCGGCUUCUGGAGUCUUCACAGCGAACUGUUGUCCCAGUUUUUCCUAAUAGAAGAUUUCAGCUGCUCAACAUAUCGAGGUCUCCUGUUACAUAAGUGCAAUUAAAGUUUCCAAUGAGCGACAAGUCAGGAUUUUAGGCGAGCAGGACUCUUCUACGACAGAGCCAAACCUGCAGAUUGUGGUUUGUUAUUGUCCCGGAGCUGGAAAGAAGCAGGUGGAAAUCGACACAUUAACUUGAAUGGAAACAAUCAGCGCCGAUCGACGGCCUUUUCGCCUCCGUUCCAUAAGCGGUGGAAAUUAUGGGUAGAGCUGUGCAGUAGG
Non-coding RNA from Xyrichtys novacula (pearly razorfish), 587 nucleotides. NCBI's taxonomy places the organism in Eukaryota, Metazoa, Chordata, Actinopteri, Labriformes, Labridae. The record is from the annotation of a GenBank genome assembly.